AACUUUCAACAAAGGAUCUCUUGGCUCUCGCAUCGAUGAAGAACGCAGCGAAGCGCGAAAUGUAGUGUGAAUCGCAGAACAUUGUGAAUCAUCGAAUCUUUGAACGCAUCUUGCGCCCUUUGGUUAUUCCGAAGGGCAUGCCUGUUUGAGAGUCAUUAU
Molecule: ribosomal RNA, 159 nt
Filed under: uncultured fungus
Lineage: Eukaryota; Fungi
Description: 5.8S ribosomal RNA
Rfam family: 5.8S ribosomal RNA
About the family: 5.8S ribosomal RNA (5.8S rRNA) is a component of the large subunit of the eukaryotic ribosome. It is transcribed by RNA polymerase I as part of the 45S precursor that also contains 18S and 28S rRNA. Functionally, it is thought that 5.8S rRNA may be involved in ribosome translocation.
Source: RNAcentral